Molecule: ribosomal RNA, 776 nt
Filed under: uncultured Neocallimastigales
Lineage: Eukaryota; Fungi; Neocallimastigomycota; Neocallimastigomycetes; Neocallimastigales
Description: partial large subunit ribosomal RNA
Rfam family: Eukaryotic large subunit ribosomal RNA
Source: RNAcentral
AUAUCAGUCAUGCAUAGCAUAUCAAUAAGCGGAGGAAAAGAAACUAACAAGGAUUCCCUUAGUAACGGCGAGUGAAGCGGGAAGAGCUCAAAUUUGAAAUCUUCAAGGUUUUACCUUGACGAAUUGUAGUUUAAAGAAGUGUUUUCUGUUGAAGUUUUGGUAAAAGUUCUUUGGAAUAGGACAUCAUAGAGGGUGAGAAUCCCGUAUUUGACCAUUAUUUUCAGCUGUGUGAUACAGCUUUCAAAGAGUCGGAUUGUUUGGGAAUGCAGUCCAAAAUGGGUGGUAAAUUUCAUCUAAAGCUAAAUAUUGGCGAGAGACCGAUAGCGAACAAGUACCGUGAGGGAAAGAUGAAAAGAACUUUGAAAAGAGAGUUAAACAGUACGUGAAAUUGUCAAAAGGGAAGCGUUUGACACCAGUGUUGUUUUCUCGAAAAUCAAUUAAAAAAGGUUGGAUUUUGUGUUGUAUUGACCUUAACAGCUUUCUGCACUCUUUUCCUGCUUUUUUUAAUGCACUUUUCGUUUAACAAGUCAACAUCAGUUUCUUUUGUUGUAAAAGGGUCAUUGGAAGGUGGCUUUCUUUUCGGAGAAAGUGUUUAUAGCCUUUGAUCUCUGCAAUCGGAGAGACUGAGGUCUGCAGCGUAGAUCCUUCGGGGUUAGAUACAUUUGUGCUAAGUUAUAACUUUUCAUAGACAACUUGUUGACUAUGUUUUAGUCAUGUAGCUUACUCGCUUAUGCUAUUUUACCUACGCUUAGGAUGUUGAAGAUGUAGCACAUCAU